AGAGUUUGAUCAUGGCUCAGGAUUAACGCUGGCGGCGUGCCUAACACAUGCAAGUCGAGCGAGAACUUGGAAGUGAAUAUUUCUAUUGGAACAGAAAAUGGAAAGCGGCAAACGGGUGAGUAACGCGUGAAUAAUCAACCCUGCCCAAAGGGAUAGCCUCGGGAAACCGGGAUUAAUACCAUAUGAAGUAUAUUAAUCUAAUGAUAGAUAUAUUAAAGUUUUUAACGGUACAGGACGAGUUCGCGUCCCAUUAGCUAGUUGGUGAGAUAACAGCUUACCAAGGCGACGAUGGGUACCCGGCCUGAGAGGGUGAACGGCCACCCUGGAACUGAAACACGGUCCAAACUCCUACGGGAGGCAGCAGUGGGGAAUAUUGCACAAUGGAGGAAACUCUGAUGCAGCGACGCCGCGUGAGAGAAGAAGGCUUUCGAGUCGUAAAGCUCUGUCCU
Molecule: ribosomal RNA, 449 nt
Filed under: uncultured bacterium
Lineage: Bacteria
Description: bacterial SSU rRNA
Rfam family: Bacterial small subunit ribosomal RNA
Source: RNAcentral